GUCUGUGUAUUAUGUUAAAUAUGCUAGUCCUUUCAUGAUUAUGUGAUAGGUGGUGCAUGGCCGUUCUUAGUUCGUGGAGUGAUCUGUCUGCUUAAUUGCGUUUCACUAAGGGCCUAUAAAUUUACGUGUGUUGCGGCACUUUGACCCCUCUCUGAGCGCGCGUCUUAGUUUGCUUUGCUCGCACAAUUAGGUCCUGAAAGCAACGAACGUGACCGCAACCUCUUGUUGCCUUUAUUCCAAACAUGUUUGCCAUUUUAAAUGGUAUUCAUGAAAAAAGGCUUUUUAAACUAGAGGGACCGCUGUUACUUUCUUAAACCAGAGGAAGGUUGCGGCAAUAACAGGUCUGUGAUGCCCUUAGAUGUUCCGGGCUGCACACGUGCUACAAUGAUUAUUGCAGUGAGCAUCUCAUUUUUACACACCGCAUGCGCGAGUCCAUUUAUUCACCUCUCUGAGGCGCUUUAAAUGUGUACCUCUGCGCGCGGUAAAGCCUGCUUCGAGAGUAAGUGGGUAAUCAAUUAGAAGUAAUGAUUUCCUUUUUAGCACACAUAUAUACGGCGUCUAUGCCCGGGCUGCCUUGUUGUAGCUUUUGUGCGUAUAGAUGUUUUUUCCGUAUGUGCGAUUGUCAAUUCAUGGUGGGGACAGACCAUUGUUAAUUGUUGGUCUCGGUCUUAACUAGGAAUGCCUUGUACGGGUCUUUGGUUCAACAAACCACCCGGAAUACGUCCCUGCCCUUUGUACACACCGCCCGUCGCUCUUACCGAUGGACUUCUCUGUGAGUUUGAGGGACUGGGAACGCAGAUUUUAUCUGCACACCUAUGGAAACUUAAACGAACAGUGUGGUCUAAAG
Molecule: ribosomal RNA, 847 nt
Filed under: Chilostomella sp. AtlMed
Lineage: Eukaryota; Foraminifera; Rotaliida; Chilostomellidae
Description: bacterial SSU rRNA
Rfam family: Eukaryotic small subunit ribosomal RNA
Source: RNAcentral